AAGAGAUAAAGAAUGCUCAACAAUAAGAAAUUUACCCAAGAGACAGGAAAAAGACUUAUUAACACUCACUUCUAGCAAAACCCGACCAAGGAAUGCUUGUUUCGCUGGCAAAUAGACGAGGCUUAGUAAAAAGCUCGACUUCUGCAAAAAAACUGCUAAUAUAGAAGGAAAAAAAUAGGAUUGAACCCUCCAAACUAAAUUUUACGGUGGUUGGUUGUGCGCAGGUUCUGAAAAGCUGGUAACGCAGUUGAA
Molecule: non-coding RNA, 252 nt
Organism: Schizosaccharomyces pombe (fission yeast)
Lineage: Eukaryota; Fungi; Ascomycota; Schizosaccharomycetes; Schizosaccharomycetales; Schizosaccharomycetaceae
Source: the annotation of a GenBank genome assembly